Molecule: long non-coding RNA, 1248 nt
Organism: Mirounga angustirostris (Northern elephant seal)
Lineage: Eukaryota; Metazoa; Chordata; Mammalia; Carnivora; Phocidae
Exons: 4
Source: RefSeq, a predicted model, not a curated record
CCCCACCGACCGACCCGCCACUCCUCACAGACCCCGGACCGAGACGCGGCUCCCAGAGGCUUUGGCGGCCCCAACCCCGGCCCCUUCGGCCGCGGGGAACCCGGGCCUCGAGAAACCGGCCAGCUGCCGUCGCCAAGGGGCCAUGACCGUCAACUUCCAGUUGCGAUUGGGGCGCCUGGGUGGCUCAGUGGUUGGACGUCUGCCUUCGGCUCAGGUCAAAAAAAAAAAACCCAAAACCCAAAACGAUUGCGAUUGUAAUCUGAUUAUCUGGAAAUGGCAUUUUAGACAUUGGCUUUAUUCGAUUUCUCUCCUGCCCCCUCGCCCACCACACACAUUGGUUUCUAAUUAGAUUUAUUAGUAACAAGGAAAAGGGAAGCUUUUGCAUUUGAUGUUCUCACCUUGCGGGAAGCGUCCACGCUCCCACUUGCCUGUCAGUGCCCAGGAGAAGCUAGUUUAAUAUAAUACAUCCCAAGUUACGGGACAUAGAUAUUACAGCAUUGUUUAGAAUAACUGGGAAGGAGUUAGUGGCUUGUCGCAUUUGGGUGGCAUACAGUGAUCUGGUUGAUAAGUCUUUCCUUAUCCUCAUUUCAGCCUCGUUUACCUUUCACACCUCUCCCAUACUGCAGUUUUAAAUUAUAUGUUUAAAUUUUAUUGAUCUCUCCAGUAUUGAGUUGCAAGCUCAUUUUCAUCACUGUAUUUCCAGUGUCUAACAGUGUGCUAAACAUUGUAGGCACUGAUUAAAUGGAUAUUGACCAAAUGAACUGGAGGUAUCUAAAGAAAUCAAAACUUUUGACAUAUCAUGAAACUCUAGCUUAGCCAAUAGUCACCAUAACCAUAAUAACUGUAUUAAUCUGGCUAACAGGGGUAUGAGGUACUCCGAGAGUCUAGACACAGGAAAUCCAACGAGCUCUGUUUGUCUAGCCAUGAAUCAGCGUGGGCAGUGGAAAGGGACAGAGAAAUUUGGUGGGCUGAGGCAGUAUGUAUGUCUUCAUAGUGCUCGGUGCUUCUGAAAGAUGGAUGAACAAUUCCAGGUAUUAUAAUAAGAUGCUGCAGGAUCAGAUCAAACAUGAACCUCUGCCCUCAAGUCUGAACAUCUGAACGUGUGGACUUAAAGCUGGUGCUCCUCAGGGUACAAUACAGUCAUAGCCCAUUCUCUUCCAGAGAAUAGUUCUGGAUAAUGACAUUUUCCCUGAAAUAUGACCACCAAAUUCCUGAAACUCAUAGUUUGUAGCUAUUUUAAAAAGAAAA